Gopherus evgoodei (Goodes thornscrub tortoise) is the source of this 114-nucleotide long non-coding RNA. RefSeq lists it as uncharacterized. NCBI's taxonomy places the organism in Eukaryota, Metazoa, Chordata, Testudines, Testudinidae. The transcript is spliced from 3 exons. The record is from RefSeq and is a predicted model, not a curated record.
GGAAAUCAUGGAAGUGACCCACAAUGAAAGAGCUCAUCUGACUGAGUGAAAGGACGUGAUAUCAAAUUACAGGAAACAUGCCAGUAAACGUGAGGACAGGAAAGACGGUUGAGA